This 85-nucleotide transfer RNA is filed under the name bacterium. RNAcentral's name for it is "tRNA-Leu". It matches the Rfam family "tRNA". Rfam says of the family: Transfer RNA (tRNA) molecules are approximately 80 nucleotides in length. Their secondary structure includes four short double-helical elements and three loops (D, anti-codon, and T loops). Further hydrogen bonds mediate the characteristic L-shaped molecular structure. tRNAs have two regions of fundamental functional importance: the anti-codon, which is responsible for specific mRNA codon recognition, and the 3' end, to which the tRNAs corresponding amino acid is attached (by aminoacyl-tRNA synthetases). tRNAs cope with the degeneracy of the genetic code in two manners: having more than one tRNA (with a specific anti-codon) for a particular amino acid; and 'wobble' base-pairing, i.e. permitting non-standard base-pairing at the 3rd anti-codon position. The record is from RNAcentral.
GCCGGAGUGGUGGAAUUGGCAGACACGCAGGAUUCAAAAUCCUGUGGGCUUAACGCCCGUGCGGGUUCAAGUCCCGCCUCCGGUA